AACUUUUAACAACGGAUCUCUUGGUUCUCGCAUCGAUGAAGAACGUAGCAAAGUGCGAUAACUAGUGUGAAUUGCAUAUUCAGUGAAUCAUCGAGUCUUUGAACGCAUCUUGCACUCACUGGUAUUCCAGUGAGUACGCCUGUUUCAGUA
RNAcentral lists this ribosomal RNA (150 nucleotides) under Mucor heterogamus. Its description in RNAcentral is "5.8S ribosomal RNA". It matches the Rfam family "5.8S ribosomal RNA". From Rfam's summary of the family: 5.8S ribosomal RNA (5.8S rRNA) is a component of the large subunit of the eukaryotic ribosome. It is transcribed by RNA polymerase I as part of the 45S precursor that also contains 18S and 28S rRNA. Functionally, it is thought that 5.8S rRNA may be involved in ribosome translocation. RNAcentral also lists the same sequence under 2 other names. Lineage: Eukaryota; Fungi; Mucoromycota; Mucoromycetes; Mucorales; Mucoraceae. The record is from RNAcentral.